CUCAUUCACUUUAUAUCUGAUUGUCAAGCAUGCGAGCAGUUAUUACGUUUCGUAUGUUGAUAACGUAUACUGUAGAAUUGUGACUAAGAAACAUUUAAAAUGAAUGAAACAAUCACACUUGAUGAUAUAAGUGAUAAACAUAUCGGACGUUUCAUAGCACCGAUUUCAUUUCUUUGCCUAUUGUUGAUUUUUGGAAUACCAGGCAAUUUAGCCGUUUUAUUCAUAUACGGUACCAAGUAUUCCAAAUGUGUGUUCAGAGUUCUCAUUUGUAAUCUGGCUGUUGUUGAUCUAAUUUUCUGCAGUUUAGGCAUACCAUUUAAUAUUGCUCGUAUUGUUCAUUAUUAUACAUUCGAUGGACGGUGGGCGUGUAAAAUUAUCACAGGAGUCAUUGUAUUUGGAUUCAUAUAUUCUGCUCAUCUGGUGAUGUUACUAUCAGUGCAUAGAUUCAGACAAAUCUGUUAUUCGGUCAAAACUCAAAUUUCUGUCAAGAACAUUCAUUAUUUUAUAAUAGUCUGUUUUGUUAUCGGGAUACUACUGUCAUGGCCACAAGCAGUAUUAAUUGAUAUUGAUGCGAUAAAAUUACAAAAUAACAUUACUACUCGCACCUGUCCAAUUACUGCUGAGCAUCCUUCGAAGUACUCGAUUGUAUAUAGUACUUUCAAUGUAUGUUUAUUUUCGAUCUAUACUGUAAUUUUGUUUGUGCUUUAUUCACUGAUAGCCAGGAAAAUUUACCUACAACGCCAAAAACGACUUUGUCCUCAUACACAAACUUCUGACGGCAAUAUGUCCGAAAAGAUGACAAAAAUUGCUUUUACUAUUUCAGUGGUGUUUGCACUGAGCUAUAUUCCUCUUUUUUUCUCAAAGUUGCAAAGGACUGGUUUGAUGAGAGCGAUAUCAAUGAAUUCGCAUUUUCGACUUUGAAAAUUGCUGAAAGAUGUUACAUUGUCAACCACGUUGCAAAUCCAAUAAUAUAUUUUAUUUUUGACAAACGUUUUAGGCGAAGUAUGAGGAAUCUCGUUUCUUGCAAAAGGGGAGUUGAAUCAGAAAGUAAAGAUAAACGCUACAAUGUUGAUCAUUCAACUGACCAUACGAUAACUGAUCAUGACCAUACAGCAUCCACGACAAUCAUUUAAAGUCUAAAUUAGCGUUGCAAUACAGUUGAAUAGCGUGAUAUAUUAAAGGACAUAAAUUAUAUAACCUGUUAUAAAACAAUUGAUCGAAUAAAAUUUAUCUAGAAGAGUACUGGGGAGUCAAAUUAGAAACAUAUUAAAUCUAUAAAAGAGAACAAUAAAGGUAACAUGAAUGCAUAUAACCAACCAGACUUGUAUCGAAACUACUGUCUAUAAUUUGCUAUAAAUAUAGAAAUAGACCAGAAAAUCAACUCAUAUUCAUGGAACAGAUCCCAAAAUGUCAUCGUAUUCUUGUUCUGCACAUUAGUUUUUAAACGUUUACAUGUUUUAAGGAAGCUUUGUUAUCAUUCUUAUGAUGUAAUCAGAAUUACUGUGAAUACACACUCUAUAGCAUUGUUAAUAGCUGUGAUACGCACUAGCAUUGUAUGGCUGUGGUAUGGAUAAGUAUUGAUUUGAGCGUCACUGAUGAGUCUUGUGUAGAAGAAACGCGCGUCUAGCGUACUAAAUUAUAAUCCUGGUACCUUUGAUAACUAUUGUAUGACUGUCAUAUGACAUUUGAUGUGUAUGUAUGCGAUAUGAUGUAUCAAGGGAGGUGUUUUAAAAUACUUUUUUCCAUAUUUUCUUUGUAAAUACCCUUUCGACCAUACAAAUGCAUCUUACAAAUAAAAGGUAUACCACGCCUUAACAUAGGAUACUUAUAUAUAUUUCAUGAUGAAAAGUUAUUAAAAUACCAUACAUUAUUACAACUUUCAUUAAAAUAUAGUUAAUACGUAUACAUAAGUGAAUAAUUGUAAAAGUUUUUCUUGAUCAACAUUGCCAUUGCGAUUAAAAAUUCAUAUCUCAAAAUGACAUGUCUAGCUCAGCAUCACAACAGUUUUAUAGACUAGUAUAGCAAAUAAUCAAUUGCAAAUAUGGUAAUCAAAUGUUGCUAUAUAUAUAUAAAAUUUAAAAAAAGAAGAUGUUGUGUGAUUGCCAAUGAGACAACUAUUCACAGGAGACUAAAGGACACACACAUUAACGACUAUAUGUCACCGUACGACCUUUAAUACUGAACAAUCCAAUACCGCAUAGAUAGCUAUAAAAGGCCCAUUUAACAAAUGUAAACCAAUUCAAACUAGAGAACUAAAUAAGAUGACAUUGAUAAGUCAUAAUUUGAAGCAGCAUGAGUCAAGGCAUGAAAUUCUACAAAUAGGUUACAAUAUCAGAUGGGCGAAAGUGGAGAAACAUUCAUAUGUGGCUGAUAAAUAUUUGCUAAGAUCGUCUAGAUUUUUAACCCUACUGUGAAACGUCAAAAUAACCUUUUUUGUUAUUUCUAAGCUGAACAAUAUAUUCUUAAAUACAAAGAAAUAAACACAACGAAAGAUUUGAAACAUACUGUAUCAGCUGUGAAACUGCAGCAAUGUGUUGUCUGUUUUUACUGUAAUUCUACGUCUACUAAAAUGUAUAUAGAAAGUAUCAC
Molecule: long non-coding RNA, 2589 nt
Filed under: Mytilus galloprovincialis (Mediterranean mussel)
Lineage: Eukaryota; Metazoa; Mollusca; Bivalvia; Mytilida; Mytilidae
Source: RNAcentral